This 73-nucleotide transfer RNA is filed under the name bacterium. RNAcentral describes it as "tRNA-Arg". It matches the Rfam family "tRNA". Rfam says of the family: Transfer RNA (tRNA) molecules are approximately 80 nucleotides in length. Their secondary structure includes four short double-helical elements and three loops (D, anti-codon, and T loops). Further hydrogen bonds mediate the characteristic L-shaped molecular structure. tRNAs have two regions of fundamental functional importance: the anti-codon, which is responsible for specific mRNA codon recognition, and the 3' end, to which the tRNAs corresponding amino acid is attached (by aminoacyl-tRNA synthetases). tRNAs cope with the degeneracy of the genetic code in two manners: having more than one tRNA (with a specific anti-codon) for a particular amino acid; and 'wobble' base-pairing, i.e. permitting non-standard base-pairing at the 3rd anti-codon position. The record is from RNAcentral. RNAcentral also lists the same sequence under 1 other name.
GCGCCCGUAGUUCAAUGGAUAGAGCGACAGACUUCGGAUCUGUAUGUUGGGGGUUCGAGUCCUCCCGGGCGCG